GAUGUGAUAGGAUCAUUGCUGUGUCUGUCACAGGGAGUACAAGGAAAGCAGGAGUGGCUGGAUUGAUUUUUAAAUCAAUUUUAAAAAUUAUGUAAAAAAUUCCCUCAGGAAAGUUGAGCCUGAGAAAGUGCAUCUUUUGUAACUGGUGUGGAAAAACCUUUUGGAGGGAAGAAGAAAGGAGAGGAAAUAGAGAGAAAAAAAAGCCUGAAAUUAAAUGAGAAGUCAAUCUACCCAGAAAACUUAAAAAUUUGUUUUCUGGACAAGUGAGGAGAAAAACAGGAGGGAUUGAACAAGAGAACAAAAAUAGACAACAACAACAACUUGGAUUUACAUAGCGCCCUCCACACCG
Callorhinchus milii (elephant shark) is the source of this 349-nucleotide long non-coding RNA. RefSeq lists it as uncharacterized. The record is from RefSeq and is a predicted model, not a curated record. Lineage: Eukaryota; Metazoa; Chordata; Chondrichthyes; Chimaeriformes; Callorhinchidae. The transcript is spliced from 3 exons.